Molecule: long non-coding RNA, 5098 nt
Filed under: Sus scrofa (pig)
Lineage: Eukaryota; Metazoa; Chordata; Mammalia; Artiodactyla; Suidae
Description: lncRNA (ENSSSCG00015054237.1)
Source: RNAcentral
UUCUUAUCUGUCUGAAUUAAAAGAAACAAGGAUAUAGAUAAAAGAAUGGUGAAGUGCUCAGAGAAAAUCCUACUGUACCUGGCAAGGAUUAUCAUAGUAUAUAAUAUUUGGAAUGAGUGACAGAGGUGGCAUGAGUUAAUAUGUGAUACAUUUAGAAUAGUGAGUGUACAAUAAAGUGUUGGCUAUUAAUAGUUUUAGAGAUUAUAUCACAUGAUACAUUUUUAAAAGGCUGAAUCAGUUGUGUUUUAUCUAUUGCUUUAUGACAACCAGUCCAAAUCUUAGUUCCUUAAAAGCAGUUUAUUAUUUCUCACAAUUCUGUGGUUUACGUGGGCUCAUUUGGCGAUUCUUCUGUGGUAUACCUGGGGUCAGUUGGGUGGCCUCAUUCAGCUGGAGCUGGAAUGUACAAGAUGGCUUCUCAUCCUUCAGAGACUUCUUCCAUGUGAUAUCUCAUCAUUCAGUAGUCCAUCCUAAGCUACUUUAGGGCAUGGUUGCUGGCUUCUAGGAAGGGCAGUCCUCAUCAUGCAAAUGCUCAUCAAACUUCUGAUUGCACAUGCCUUAAUGUCCCAAUGGCUAUUAUUAGUCAUGUGGCAAAGUCAUUAAAAGAGGGAAUUACACAAAGGUAUGAAGACCAGGAAUCAUGAUUUACUGAGGACUGCCAGUGUAGUAGUCUCAAGCGGUAUAAAGCAUCCUGGGACCUUCACGUGGUUGGAAUCUGAACUGUGUGUUGUGCCAUGGAUAUGCUAGACAGCAUGCAUCAGAACCACUUGGAGACCACAACUUCAGAUCCUCUUUUUUGUAAGUCUGGACUAGAGCCCAUAAAUAAGCAUUUUAAAAGUCUACCCACGUUGUCUUGAUGAACACCUGAUAUCCAGUUAGAGAACAAUUUAUCAGAAACUCUGAGGGCAGGGGACACCCUGCAUUUCCUCUGGUGAUCUGCCUUUAUCAGAGGCUAGCCUUCUGAGAUUUUUUACCAAGUGGAAGAUUGCUAGUUUGUUCUCUGUGGCAAGUUCAUAGCAGCCAUGGGGAUGGUUAGGGUAGGGUCACCUUUUGGUUUUCAGUUGUUCAUAUGACUCUACAAAGGUAGUCCUCUGUGCUAGAUUUUGGGCUGAUGAGAAUUUCUCUGAGUAGUGGAAAAAUUGGGGUAUCCAGGGUAUUCUCCUUUAUCAAAGUAGUUUCUCUAAUGCUGAUUUACAUCUAUAUAGCAGUUGUUUAAUAAAAAUAACGAAAAAGUUUGAUCUGUGGCUAUGUAAACCUUAGUUGACAUCUCUCUAUAGUAAGGUUGGAAUGAAACACUAAAAGUGUAACAUUAAGGAAAGUGACUUCUAAGAUCUCUCAAAAGUCUUAGUGUAGUUUUAAGCUUUCAUAGCUUUAGAAUUAUAAAUGCUACAAACUUAAUGUCAUUUGCAAAGUUAUUUAACUUUUAUUUGUAUUCAUUUUUUACUUUGAAUGCUCGAUUUUAUAAGUAUUUUUAAAAUUUAAGAAUAUUUACCUAUUUAAGAAAUUUAUGUAAUUAAACUUUCAAAUCAUAUUUUAUUAUUCAUUGGUAACAUUUAUACUUCUGAGUUACUGAAACCUACACUAAGGCUUGUAGGACAUCCUGUAUGUAUAUUACUCAAAGGAUGAUGUUUAAUGGCAGGAAAGUAAUUUGUUUGAAAAUAAGUUGGGGACUUCAUUUUUCCAUUAUUUUUUUCUACUUUUUUUUAAUGCAUCAGUAUCCAGGAGCCACCAUUCAGGGAUGAUGUUAUUAAAGCAACUUGUCACGUAUGCAUUUGAGAUGCUGAUGUGUUGAUCUAUUCUAGAUAUGCACAGAGUCUUCAAUGCAGGGAUUUUAUGCAGAAUUUAGAUGACAAAAUACAGCUCCUCUUGCCUGUUCUUUAUACACGUGUCUGUUAGAGGACUAUGUAAUUUUGGAUAUCAUAAAUGAACUGUAUUUGAGGGAAACAUCUCAGAGUUUGCAAAGACAGUGAGUUCCCAUUCCUUCGACUUGGAGAAACCUCUGAUACUGGUUUAUUAUCUCCUCCUAACCCCUCCUUUGCAAAAAUGCCUGUGUAAUUGUAUAAUGACAGAAGGAGAUAGGAAUUUCUUCCAUCUAGGCUAUGGUUCUGCUCUUCAGGCUACUUCCUUCCUCCAACCCAGAAGCUGGACCCAUCCCUUUGGAGCUAUGGUCCAGGUAUUCAAGCCACAUCCUGUUACUUUUAUCAGAAAAUGUUUUGAAAAUGAAAAUCCAAGGUAGUAUUAUCUUAUGUUGUAGGAUUUUAAAAGAUGAUUCAAAAUACAUUAUAGAUUAUAAAUAUUGGAAUUCUGACAAUAUAAUUACAAUUGAUUUUUAUGAGGAAGAAGAAGGGCAAACAUCUAAAGAAAAGAUGUACCUUAUAAAGGUCUGGAAAGCUUGGGUUUCCAAAUGACAUGUUAAAAUACAGGAGGAAUUGAUACUUAAGAAAACUUUUGAAGGGACAUAUGCACUGUAAUUGCUUUUUGAGUGUUUUAAUAAUUGGUACCCUGAUUUUCCACAAUUCACAAUCUUUCCUGCACUACAAAGCCUAUGGUUCACAGCUCUCACUUAUUUUGGUGGCUAGUUCACUUGUAACUUAUCACCACCUUACACUGACUACAUCUCUGUGUUGUCAUAUGGUGGCUUGGGUGUGCCAAGUGGAAAGUAGUUACCAUCCCAGUUUUUCGUCCAUAGCCAUUUUCAUGGUGAUUAUUACAGAAUUGUUAUCAAAGGAAUGGUUUACAGUGUCUGUUUAGGAUAAUCUUAAAGAUUUAAAACAAUAUUGAAGCAUAGUUGAUUGACAAUGUUGUAUUAGUUUCUAGUAUAAAGGAAAGUGAUUCAUAUAUAUAUAUAUAUAUAUAUAUAUACACACACACACACUUAGGGGUUUUAUUUAUUUUUUUGUCUUUUUAGGGCUGCACUCUCAGCAUAUGGAAGUUCCCAGGCCAGGAGUUGAAUUGGAGCUGUAGCCACUGCCUAUGCUACAGCCACAGCAAUGCAGGAUCCUUAACCCACUGAGCCAUGACAGACACUCCCAAGGAUUUUAAUUUAAGCAAAUUAGAGAGAGCUCAGAUGUCUCCGGUGUGCUUGAAAUGAAUCUUGAAAUUUUUGAUGUAGGUUUAUGCCCAGAUUCUCUACUCUUUAUUUUUAUUCUUUGGAAUAUCCUGGAUUUGAGGGUAGGCAAACUUUAAGCCAGAUCUUACUUAAGCAUUAGACUAAGUCAGAAGACAAAAUUUCAAGUAUGAGUUUUGUGGUGUUUUGUCUCUGUAUGAUGAUAGUUUUCAAUCUGAUAGCUGUUAGUUAGGGUGAUUCAAAACACAUGCCUUAAAUUCUUAAGUAUAGUGUGAGGAUAAAUUAGGUAAUAUACAUAACACCAAUUUGAGAUCUUUAGGAAAAGUCAUCACUCUAAGAAAAAGAUCUUAACGCUGAUAUGUAAUAAAGUUGAAUACUUUCUUUAGGGACUAUGUUCUUUAGGGACUGAAAAUACUAGAAUGCUCUUUUUAAGGAAUAUAUACCAAAGAGGUACAGAGGUAGGUAAUGCUUAAUUUUAGCCAGGAAUUUGUCUUAUUAGCAUUUAUUGGAAUUUCUCUUGUAUUAACAGAAGUAAUAGACAUUAUAGAAAAUAUAGGAAUACAAAAAAAUGUUUUAAAACUCACAUAGUCCUACAGUUCAGAGAUUCUGUUCACCGUGAGGCAUGUUCUUCCUUCUCUGUCCAACAGAGCUAAACAUCACAAAAUGGAGGAAUUUUACCAUCAUGAAGUAGAACAAUUAAAAUAAGUAAGCCAUAGAAGGGUAUAAGCCAUAUGAUUCUGUUCAUAUGAUGUUCAAAUAUUGGCAGAAGUCAACUAUGUUUUUCAAGACUGCAUAUGUACGUAGUAAAGAAAAAAGAAGCGUGUGGAGAAGGUUAUUCCAAAGCCAUAUAGUCUCUAAGAGGAGAGAGGCGAUGAUGGAGAGGCACACACAGAAGGUCUGAGGUGCUGGCAAUGUUCUAACUUUUUCCUUUUACCUGAGUGGUGGUUACCACAGAUGUUCACUUUAAAAUUAUUUAUUAAACUGAGUGUUUUCAUUGUAUAUUUUACCACAAAAAUGUAUGCUUUGUAUGUUUUACAGUAUUUAGAAAUUGGGCAAGAUAUAGAGUAGAUGGUAUAGUUCAUUCUCAUUUCAUUAAAAGCAAAAAGGCCAUAUCUAUGUAUUUGUGCUUAUGUUGAAUAUUUCUAGAAGAAUAUAUGAGAAAUUACUAACAGUGACUGCCUCUAAGAAGGACUGAAAUCCUGGGAUGGGAAGGAGAUUUACGUUCACUAUAUACCCUUUUAUUUCCAUUUUGCAUAUUUUCCAGUGAGGAAUACUCUUAAAAAUUACAUGGGAGAGCAGAGGAGAAAUUAAGACCCAAAAUUCAAAACUUAAUAUUUGACACCUUGAUGACUUCUUUUUUAAGAUUUAAGUAGGUCUGAAGUAAUGGGAUUAAGGAAGAAUUAGGUUGAAAGUUAAAAUCAUAGGUUUUUCAGUCACAUUUCCCCCUUUCAUGGCCAUUAUGAUGCUCUGUUGUCUUUAGAGGUCUUGCUCCCAGUCGUGGUUCUCAAACUUUAGUGUAUAUCUGGAGCACUGGACCUGGAUUGUUAAAAUAUAGAUUCCUGGGCGGUACCUUCAGGAUAUCUGACUCAGUACAUCUGCAUUUCUGAUAAGUUCCCAGGUCAUGCUUGUGCAAGGACCACAUUUUGAGAACCACUAGGUAGUAAAGCUGCCACCUAUGUAAAGAUUAUGCUGGAAAACAGAACAAAAAUGGAGGCCCAUACCCAGUGCAUAUAGUAUGUACUUCCAACAGACAAGAAGCAAGUGUUAUACAAUAUGUGGCCCAUGUUGUGGCAUUACCUCUAUUUUUAAGCCUGUCUAUGAAUGGUAAUAUAGGUCUUGCCAGUUGGGGAAAUCAGGUAGAGCCAUUUAAAAUCAAUAGGGUUCCUGCUGUGGUGCAGCGGUUUCUUGGGAGCACUGGGACACAGGUUCGAUCCCCAGCCCAGAACAGUGAGUUAAGGAUUCAUUGUUGCCAUAGGUCGCAAUUGUGAUUUGGAUCUGAUCCCAGGCUAAAAAUGAAAAAAAAAAAAAAAAAAA